This 316-nucleotide ribosomal RNA is filed under the name uncultured Planomicrobium sp. RNAcentral describes it as "bacterial SSU rRNA". It matches the Rfam family "Bacterial small subunit ribosomal RNA", at positions 28 to 334 of the family's 1533-position model. The record is from RNAcentral. Lineage: Bacteria; Bacillati; Bacillota; Bacilli; Caryophanales; Caryophanaceae.
GACGAACGCUGGCGGCGUGCCUAAUACAUGCAAGUCGAGCGGAACCAUUGGAGCUUGCUCCUUUGGUUUAGCGGCGGACGGGUGAGUAACACGUGGGCAACCUGCCCUGCAGAUCGGGAUAACUCCGGGAAACCGGUGCUAAUACCGAAUAGUUUGCGGCCUCUCAUGAGGCUGCACGGAAAGACGGUUUCGGCUGUCACUGCAGGAUGGGCCCGCGGCGCAUUAGCUAGUUGGUGAGGUAACGGCUCACCAAGGCCACGAUGCGUAGCCGACCUGAGAGGGUGAUCGGCCACACUGGGACUGAGACACGGCCCAG